CCUACGGGAGGCAGCAGUGAGGAAUAUUGGUCAAUGGACGCAAGCCUGAACCAGCCAUGUCGCGUGCAGGAAGACGGCCCUACGAGUUGUAAACUGCUUUUGUACGAGGGUAAACGCAGACACGCGUACCUGUCUGAAAGUACCGUACGAAUAAGGAUCGGCUAACUCCGUGCCAGCAGCCGCGGUAAUACGGAGGAUUCAAGCGUUAUCCGGAUUUAUUGGGUUUAAAGGGUGCGUAGGCGGGCGGAUAAGUUAGAGGUGAAAUCCCGAGGCUCAACUUCGGAAUUGCAUCUGAUACUGUUCGGCUAGAGAAUAGUUGCGGUAGGCGGAAUGUAUGGUGUAGCGGUGAAAUGCUUAGAGAUCAUACAGAACACCGAUUGCGAAGGCAGCUUACCAAGCUACUUCUGACGUUGAGGCACGAAAGCGUGGGGAGCAAACAGGAUUAGAUACCCCAGUAGUC
Molecule: ribosomal RNA, 460 nt
Filed under: uncultured bacterium
Lineage: Bacteria
Description: partial 16S ribosomal RNA
Rfam family: Bacterial small subunit ribosomal RNA
Source: RNAcentral